GAAUACUUUGAUAGAUAAAAGCAAAAAAAUGAAUAGAAAAUUUGGUGGAGGGAAGAAACCAACAGGAACUCCAUCAAUGGCUUGGUCAACUGUGGUUGUCGUUGUUUCUCUCCUUGCUGGUGCCUCCCUUGUCCACAACUUUUUCAAACCUGAUUUGACUCUGCCCCCUGUAGACAGCAUAGAUGGAAUCAAGCAGAAAGAUGCGGAGAAGCAAUAAUCUUUUAUUUCUAUUCAUUUAAGUUUGAUGAAAAUCAUGAAAUGGAGUAGCUAUUAACAGUAGUACGCGCACACCCCUCUCCUUCGCGCAGGACUGAGUUUUAGCACUUGAAGCUAAAUGAUGUUGCACAUGUGAGAUGAUUUGAGUUCGGAUUCACUGAUUAUUAUGUUUUCUUGGACAGUCCAGUUCUUAGUUGUUCUUUCCCUUGUAUUUCGCAGUUGUUCCUAGUAGCGGAUAAACCAAGUUUAGUGUUUCGUGUUUUACUAGGUUGUGCUUUGUGCAUGUACGUCUUCGUUGUCUGUCAAUUGACCAAGAGACUGUAGCUCAUUUGAAAUGAAGUUCUCUUACCCAAAAGAACAAGAAGAAAAUUAUCCAUGAUUAUGGUUCUGAUGGCUUUUGAAUAUUGA
Molecule: long non-coding RNA, 624 nt
Organism: Lycium ferocissimum
Lineage: Eukaryota; Viridiplantae; Streptophyta; Magnoliopsida; Solanales; Solanaceae
Exons: 2
Source: RefSeq, a predicted model, not a curated record